This 388-nucleotide ribosomal RNA is filed under the name uncultured bacterium. RNAcentral's name for it is "bacterial SSU rRNA". It matches the Rfam family "Bacterial small subunit ribosomal RNA", at positions 30 to 420 of the family's 1533-position model. The record is from RNAcentral.
AUUGAACGCUGGCGGCAUGCCUUACACAUGCAAGUCGAACGGCAGCGGACCUUCGGGUGCCGGCGAGUGGCGAACGGGUGAGUAAUAUAUCGGAACGUACCUUUCAGUGGGGGAUAACGUAGCGAAAGUUACGCUAAUACCGCAUAUUCUGUGAGCAGGAAAGCAGGGGAUCGCAAGACCUUGCGCUGAUUGAGCGGCCGAUGUCAGAUUAGCUAGUUGGUAGGGUAAAGGCCUACCAAGGCGACGAUCUGUAGCGGGUCUGAGAGGAUGAUCCGCCACACUGGGACUGAGACACGGCCUAGACUCCUACGGGAGGCAGCAGUGGGGAAUUUUGGACAAUGGGGGAAACCCUGAUCCAGCCAUGCCGCGUGAGUGAAGAAGGCCUCGG